This 494-nucleotide ribosomal RNA is filed under the name uncultured bacterium. RNAcentral describes it as "partial 16S ribosomal RNA". It matches the Rfam family "Bacterial small subunit ribosomal RNA", at positions 28 to 507 of the family's 1533-position model. The record is from RNAcentral.
GACGAACGCUGGCGGCGCGCUUAACACAUGCAAGUCGAACGGAAAGGCCUGCUUUCCCUUGUGGAUUGCGGGUACUCGCGUGGCGAACGGGUGAGUAACACGUGAGUGAUCUGCCCCCAACUUGGGUAUAAGCCUGGGAAACUGGGUCUAAUUCCCGAUAGGACUGCAGGGUGGUGCCUGUGGUGGAAAACGAUUUUCUAGUGGUUGGGGAUGAGCUCGCGGCCUAUCAGCUUGUUGGUGGGGUAAUGGCCUACCAAGGCGGGGACGGGUAGCCGGCCUGGGGGGGUGGACGGGCACAUUUGGACUGGGAUACGGCCCCGAAUCCGACGGGAGGCAGCCGUGGGGAAGAAGGGACAAUGGGCGGGAGCCUGAUGGAGGGACGCCGCGUGGGGGAUGACGGCCUUCGGGUUGUAAACUCCUUUCGACCGCGAGGAAGCCACCUGGUUGGAAGGGUGGUGACGGUAGUGGUAGAAGAAGCACCGGCUAACUACGUG